CUAAGUUUGAUGGCGACCGGCGCACGGGUGAGUAACACGUAUCCAACCUGCCGAUGACUCGGGGAUAGCCUUUCGAAAGAAAGAUUAAUACCCGAUGGCAUAGUUCUUCCGCAUGGUAGAACUAUUAAAGAAUUUCGGUCAUCGAUGGGGAUGCGUUCCAUUAGGUUGUGGCGGGGUAACGGCCCACCAAGCCUUCGAUGGAUAGGGGUUCUGAGAGGAAGGUCCCCCACAUUGGAACUGAGACACGGUCCAAACUCCUACGGGAGGCAGCAUG
This 274-nucleotide ribosomal RNA is filed under the name uncultured bacterium. Its description in RNAcentral is "partial 16S ribosomal RNA". It matches the Rfam family "Bacterial small subunit ribosomal RNA", at positions 79 to 353 of the family's 1533-position model. The record is from RNAcentral.